GGGGAGGUGCCAGAGUGGUUGAUUGGGGCCGCCUGCUAAGCGGUUGUACCGUUUGUAGCGGUACCGCAGGUUCGAAUCCUGUCCUCCCCG
This 90-nucleotide transfer RNA is filed under the name Anaerolineaceae bacterium. RNAcentral describes it as "tRNA-Ser". It matches the Rfam family "tRNA". Rfam says of the family: Transfer RNA (tRNA) molecules are approximately 80 nucleotides in length. Lineage: Bacteria; Bacillati; Chloroflexota; Anaerolineae; Anaerolineales; Anaerolineaceae. The record is from RNAcentral. RNAcentral also lists the same sequence under 1 other name.